This 448-nucleotide ribosomal RNA is filed under the name uncultured bacterium. RNAcentral's name for it is "bacterial SSU rRNA". It matches the Rfam family "Bacterial small subunit ribosomal RNA", at positions 330 to 792 of the family's 1533-position model. The record is from RNAcentral.
ACCAGACUCCUACGGGAGGCAGCAGUGGGGAAUAUUGGGCAAUGGGCGCAAGCCUGACCCAGCAACGCCGCGUGAAGGAAGAAGGCUUUCGGGUUGUAAACUUCUUUUCUCAGGGACGAAGAAAGUGACGGUACCUGAGGAAUAAGCCACGGCUAACUACGUGCCAGCAGCCGCGGUAAUACGUAGGGGGCGAGCGUUAUCCGGAUUCACUGGGUGUAAAGGGAGCGUAGACGGCCAAGCAAGCCAGGGGUGAAAGCCCGGGGCCCAACCCCGGGACUGCCCUUGGAACUGCACGGCUGGAGUGCGGGAGGGGCAGGCGGAAUUCCUGGUGUAGCGGUGAAAUGCGUAGAUAUCAGGAGGAACACCGGCGGCGAAGGCGGCCUGCUGGACUGCAGCUGACGUUGAGGCUCGAAAGCGUGGGGAGCAAACAGGAUUAGAUACCCGCGUA